GGUCCGCAGAUACUGAUUCUGAUGACUCGAGGUAUCAUAGCGGACGAUGCGUAAGGCUCGCAGAUCCGAGAGACGCGCAUAGUGUGUGUACGCUACAGCAUAUGUAGCGCUAGAGUGUCGCACCUGANUAGACCGUCAGCUCUACGAGCAGCAGUGNAUUGCGCAUGGGGGAACCUGAGCAGCACGCGGUGAGUGAUGAGCCUUCGGUCGUAAGCUCUUUAGUGGAAAGAAUGCAUCGUGCUAAUUCACCGUGCUGACGGUACCCACAGAAAAAGUUCCGGCUAACUCCGUGCCAGCAGCCGCGGUAAUACGGAGGGAGCGAGCGUUGUUCGGAAUCAUUGGGCGUAAAGCGCGCGUAGGCGGUCGGGUAAGUCAGACGUGAAAGCCCGUGGCUUAACCAUGGAAUUGCGUUUGAUACUGCUCGGCUAGAGUUCAGGAGAGGUGGGCGGAAUUCCCAGUGUAGAGGUGAAAUUCGUAGAUACUGGGAGGAACACCUGUGGCGAAGGCGGCUCACUGGACUGAUACUGACGCUGAGGCGCGAAAGCGUGGGGAGCAAACGGGAUUAGAUACCCCGGUAGUCCACGCUGUAAACGAUGGACACUAGGUGUAGGAGGUAUCGACCCCUCCUGUGCCGCAGCUAACGCAUUAAGUGUCCCGCCUGGGGAUUACGGCCGCAAGGCUAGAACUCAAAGGAAUUGACGGGGGCCCGCACAAGCGGUGGAGCAUGUGGUUUAAUUCGACGCAACGCGAAGAACCUUACCUGGGCUUGACAUCCCGCGCUACCCGAUGAAAGUCGGGGUUCGGUUCGCCGACGCGGAGACAGGUGCUGCAUGGCUGUCGUCAGCUCGUGUCGUGAGAUGUUGGGUUAAGUCC
RNAcentral lists this ribosomal RNA (873 nucleotides) under uncultured bacterium. RNAcentral describes it as "bacterial SSU rRNA". It matches the Rfam family "Bacterial small subunit ribosomal RNA", at positions 1 to 1087 of the family's 1533-position model. The record is from RNAcentral.